GCAAAAAUGCCAGAGAUUAUGGGUAUGGUUUAGGUCCAUAUAACGACUAUUUUAGUCUUUUUGCU
Molecule: transfer RNA, 65 nt
Filed under: Acanthobothrium sp. MZUSP 7998
Lineage: Eukaryota; Metazoa; Platyhelminthes; Cestoda; Tetraphyllidea; Onchobothriidae
Description: tRNA-Leu
Source: RNAcentral